This 177-nucleotide small RNA is filed under the name Mycobacterium sp. 1423905.2. Its description in RNAcentral is "Actinobacteria sRNA Ms_IGR-5". It matches the Rfam family "Actinobacteria sRNA Ms_IGR-5". Lineage: Bacteria; Bacillati; Actinomycetota; Actinomycetes; Mycobacteriales; Mycobacteriaceae. The record is from Rfam by way of RNAcentral.
ACACAAGGAAGGAGGUGGUCCGCGAAAUUGAUAGCUUCAUGGACAUGUGAGGUGGCUGCGCGCUAGCAGCAGUGGCUCGGAACAACCGGCGACUUUGCGCUGGCGAAUUCCCCGCAGCCACCCGGCCCCCGAGUUUUCGGUCCGUCCAACCGGAAAUGCGCUCGGGGGCCGCUCCAU